CCUUCCAUGAAGCUGGAAUUGCUAGUAAUGGCAGGUCAGCAUACUGCCGUGAAUACGUUCCCGGGCCCUUGUACACACCGCCCGUCACACCAUGAGAGUUGGGAAUACCCGAAGCCUGUGAGCUAACAUAUGAGGCAGCAGUCGAAGGUAGAAUCAAUGAUUGGGGUGAAGUCGUAACAAGGUAAC
This 186-nucleotide ribosomal RNA is filed under the name uncultured bacterium. RNAcentral describes it as "partial 16S ribosomal RNA". It matches the Rfam family "Bacterial small subunit ribosomal RNA", at positions 1314 to 1500 of the family's 1533-position model. The record is from RNAcentral.